CGGACGGGUGAGUAACGCGUGGGUAACCUGCCUCGCACAGGGGGAUAGCAGUUGGAAACGACUGAUAAUACCGCAUAAGCGCACAGUACCGCAUGGUACAGUGUGAAAAACUCCGGUGGUGUGAGAUGGACCCGCGUCUGAUUAGCUUGUUGGCGGGGUAACGGCCCACCAAGGCAACGAUCAGUAGCCGACCUGAGAGGGUGACCGGCCACAUUGGGACUGAGACACGGCCCAG
RNAcentral lists this ribosomal RNA (235 nucleotides) under uncultured bacterium. RNAcentral's name for it is "partial 16S ribosomal RNA". It matches the Rfam family "Bacterial small subunit ribosomal RNA", at positions 99 to 334 of the family's 1533-position model. The record is from RNAcentral.